GACGGAGGGUGCUAGCGUUGUUCGGAAUCACUGGGCGUAAAGGGCGCGUAGGCGGCUUUGGCAGUCGGCUCGUGAAAGCCCGGGGCUCAACCCCGGAGGUGCGGCCGAUACACCAAGGCUGGAGGCCGGAAGAGGAGGGUGGAAUACCCAGUGUAGAGGUGAAAUUCGUAGAUAUUGGGUGGAACACCGGUGACGAAAGCGGCUCUCUGGUCCGGUUCUGACGAUGAGGCGCGAAAGCGUGGGGAGCAAACAGG
Molecule: ribosomal RNA, 254 nt
Filed under: uncultured bacterium
Lineage: Bacteria
Description: partial 16S ribosomal RNA
Rfam family: Bacterial small subunit ribosomal RNA
Source: RNAcentral